UCGCCCGUCAUUGGGGAGUAGCCGCUCUCGCGCCGCGAGAGGCCGACGUCAACACGCUUGGUCCGCUCCUGGGCCAUGGCGUCGGCAGCAACCAUGCCUGGCAAGACCUUUGGCCACCAUGCCUGCCGUUCGGCUGGACGGGCGUGGUGGUCAAUCGUCUUUUAUCCGGCCCGGACU
This 177-nucleotide small RNA is filed under the name Burkholderiales bacterium. RNAcentral's name for it is "Manganese sequence". It matches the Rfam family "Manganese Mn2+ riboswitch aptamer (yybP-ykoY)". From Rfam's summary of the family: This RNA was originally discovered in E. coli during a large scale screen and was named SraF. The family was later found to exist upstream of related families of protein genes in many bacteria, including the the yybP and ykoK genes in B. subtilis. Lineage: Bacteria; Pseudomonadati; Pseudomonadota; Betaproteobacteria; Burkholderiales. The record is from RNAcentral.